RNAcentral lists this long non-coding RNA (11779 nucleotides) under Capsicum annuum. Its description in RNAcentral is "long non-coding RNA (CANN_LNC009755)". Lineage: Eukaryota; Viridiplantae; Streptophyta; Magnoliopsida; Solanales; Solanaceae. The record is from RNAcentral.
AGAUUUGGAAUCCUGCAACGUAGGCUUCAAGAAGAAGCUAUUAUUUUCGCAUAUAGAGGUACGCGGGGUUGUCCUAAAUUUCGUAGGCAUGUUUUCAAAAGGGAAUUUAUGCAAGACUUUAAAUUUAUACAAAUAUAUAUAUGUUUUACAAAUGGGGGUUUUCAAUUGAUACAAAUAACAUGUUUUGAUUUAUGAUUUUGAAAGAAAUGUUGAGAUAUCAUGGGGUUGUUUAUUUGAAUAUAUUUUAAUGGUUAAAUUAUGAACACGUGACCUAAAAUUUCAAAAGGGUGUGAUGUACAUGAGUUGUGAAUUUCCUAAAUUCCCCAUGAUAAUGUUUAUACCCCAUAUCAUAUUUGUGUUAAACCAUUGAGAACAUGAGUUUUGCAAUCGAUAUGACUUUACUUAUAAAUUAUUAAACAUUCUUGAAUGAUUGCAUGUUGAGAACCAUGGUGUAUGUGUUUUAAUGGUGUGAAAGUCAUACAUAUGUGCAUGUUGUAAAUGGUAUAAGAAGUUGAUGUCAUAUUGAUGACUUGCAAGUCGAGUAUGACGAUACCCUGUAGAGAAUAACAUGUGAUUGAUUUAAAUGAGUUUUCAUGCAUUAAUUUUAUGAGCUAGGUAGUGACCCGAAGAAAGAACGAGUCACUACGCUGGAAGCCAUGUUUGCCGACUCGGGAACUUGGUACCCUGCUGUGUGAUCUUGUGUACCUGACAUUAUGUCAUCCUAAAUUAGGACUAUGACUAGGAGCCCUGCUUUGUGAUCUUGUGCACUACCAUACUUGAUUGGGUUGAGACACCCUGCUGUGUGAUCUUGUGUGUCUUUCCCUCACUUAUACUCUAAUCUCGGUGGUAACCUAGAUUUGACAGUUGGUGAAAAUGUGAAAUUAUAGGGUGUACCACCUAGCUCAGAUGUGUUGCAUUGUUGUUGAAAAAUCAUUAUACUAUGCCCAUGUAUUUUUGAAAUCAUUUUGCAAUAAUGUGUCUUAUUACAGCUCUCAUGUAUUUUAUAUAAAAUUCUCUACUUUGUUUUGGAUUUCUCUGCAUUCCAGUACUUUGUAUUGACCACCUUCCCUCUCAGUUUUGGAGGUACAGUCUAGGGGUCCAAAAAAUCAGUAGAUUCUUCAGAUAGAUUUGCAGAGUCGAGUGGUGAGCCUUCUAUAUUCUGGAAGGCCUGAUGUCUGGAAGUUUAUUUAUCUAUUUAAUAGUUUUGGGUCUACUGGGGACCUUGUCCCUUCUUUCAGACAUUUAUUUGUUUUAGUUAUGUAGUAGAGAUUUCGCAGACGGUUUUCAGAUGUCGAUAGAUGUUGUGGGAUGUUAUUUCCCAUUAUUGAUUUCAUUAGAUUUCAUGACCAUGUUUCCUUAACAUUGUGUAUCUUCUGCAUUUUAUUUUAUCAUAUGAAUUAUAUGUAUGAUUACCAGAUAGAUAGGGGUGUUUUGGGCCUUUGUGGUUUGGAAUGCUCAUCACGGCCAGGGCCCCAGUUUGGGUCGUGACAAACUUGGUAUCAGAGCACGGUUCAUGGUCCCAGGGUAUCUGCAAAAUCAUAUCAGGUAGAGUCUUAUUUAUGGGUGUAUAGCGAACCACACUUAUAAGCAGGAGACUACUAGGUAUUUAGGAAAUAUUUCCCUUCUUUGUGAUUUAGUUUGUGCUUCAGCGUUAAGUCUGUUCCUAAUCAGUGAUCUUUUGUCUUACAAAAACAACAGUCACGCCUCCUCAUCACAAUUCUAAUCAGAGUGCCCAAAAUGAUAAAGUCCGUCCCACUCAUGGGAUGAGGACACAUAAUAGAGCUCCCACUCUAGACCCUGUCCCUACUCCGGGAGUCCCAACCAGUCCACCUCGGGCUCCAUGGACCAAUGUCAACCGUCCUCGGACUUUGUAGGGGAAUAUAUCAAAUGCAGAGUUCAGGCAAUCUAUUCAUAGGCUAGCACAGUUGGUGGCUAUGCAGACUCAGCGGUUAGAAGAUACUGGGUCUGCAUCUAUUACUUCUGAAAAUACAGGUGAGCCAAUUUAUGAGGAUGAAUCCUCCCAAAUUCACAGGUACCAAAGUAGAAGAGGAUCUGUAGGAAUUUGUAAAUGAAAUGGAAAAGAUCUUUAAAGUGAUGCAUGUAGAUUAAGUAGAGGGGGUAGAAUUGGCGGUGUACCAUCUGAAAGAUGUGGCGAAUCAAUGGUACAAUGAUUGGGAAGAUGCGAAGGGCGACAAUGCUGAGCCCUGGGUAUGGAAUGAGUUUGUAGAUGCUUUUCUUGACUGGUUUUUUCCUUUAGAGUUGCGGGAGGCGAAGGAUGAGGACUUCAUGAACCUUAAGCAGGGUAAGAUAAGUGUUCAGGAGUAUACUAUAAAGUUUAAUCAGUUGGCUCGUUAUGCUCCUAAAAUGACGAGUAGUAUGAGGGCCCGAAUGAGAAAGUUUGUGUUCGGCCUUUCAGAUGAUCUGGUGCUUGAGUGUCAGGGAGAUAUGCUGAACAAGGAGUUGUAUUUUACUAGGCUGAUAGUUUAUAUGCAACAGGUAGAGGAGAAAAAGAAGAAGAAGAUUUCUAAAGCUAGGAAGAAAGACAGACAGGCAAAAAGAGCCAGACCUGCCGACCAGGGUCACAGUCAGCCUUAAGGCGGUAGGUGGGAAAAUAAAUGGUAGAAGAAGAAGAAUUGGAGUAAUGCAUAGAAUGUUACCAGCUCCCCAGCGCCUAGACCACCAACAGACAGACGAUCUCAGAGUUUCUAGACACAUCAUGGAUCCAGAGCCCCAGAUACUCAGUCGCAGGGCAGUGUGGCCCAGCAGCGCCGUACUUAUCCAUGGUGUGAGACUUGCUGAAAGAAUCACCCAUAGAGGUUUUAUUUUGAGGGGAUAAAUUUUUAUACUUGUGGCAAGGUGGGUCAUCUUUAGAGAGAUUGCCCUUCUACUGGAGGAGAUGCGGGGGGGACUAAGCCCCGAGCCGCGUUGGGGGGGGGGAGGGAGGAAGGGGCUAAGUCCUAAGCCGCCUCUACGGAUCCUCCUCCUAAGGGUGCUCCUUCUGCUGCCGGGAGCGGUCAUAACCAUUUAUAUACUUUAACUAACCGCCAGGAGGCGGAAGCUUCACUAGAUAUUGUCAUCGGUAUGUUACGAAUCUUUUUCCAUAAUGUUUAUAUAUUGGUUGAUCCCGGGUUUACCUUAUCUUAUGUGACCCCUUAUGUGGCUGUUGGUUUUGGUUUUGAGCCCGAAGUUAUUGUAGAACCCUUCACUGUUUCCACUUUUUUAGGUGAUUCUGUUGUUGCUAGAAGGGUGUAUAAAAAUUGUGUUGUGUAUAUUCUUAGCCGGGAUACUAUGGAAGACCUUAUAGAACUUGAUAUGGUAGACUUUGAUGCUAUCCUUGGGAUGGACUGGGCCCAUUCGUGUUAUGCCACACUUGAUUGCAGAACCUGGAAGGUUACUUUUUCUUUCCCAAAUGAGUCAUCAAUUGAGUGGGCAGGGAAUUCUAUGGCACCUAGAGGUCACUUUAUCUCUUAUCUUAGAGCCUGAAGGCUUAUCUCCAGAGGUUAUAUGUACCAUCUAAUCGAGUAAAAGAUUUUAGGGCUGAAAAUCUUCCUCUUUAGUCUAUCCCUCCAGAGGUCUUUUUCAAAGAUCUCCUAGAGAUACCACCUGAUAGAGAGAUAGAUUUUGGCAUUGAUGUAUUGACAGACACUCGUCCUAUUUCUAUUCCGCCAUAUAGAAUGGCUUCUGCAGAACUAAAAGAGUUAAAAGAACAGCUCGCAGACCUCCUAGACAAAGGCUUUAUUCGUCCUAGUAUUUCCCCAUGGGGUGCACUCGUACUUUUCAUGUAAAAUAAGGAUGGGUCCCUUCGUAUGUGCAUAGACUAUCGCCAGUUGAAUAAGGUGACUAUUAAAAACAAAUAUCCUCUUCCUAAGAUUGAUGAUCUUUUUGACCAGCUUCAGGGUGAUAAGUGUUUUUUGAAAAUAGACCUUCGUUCGGGCUAUCAUCAGUUGAAGGUUAGGGAGUCAGACAUUCCCAAAACAUCCUUUCGAACCCGAUAUGGUAACUAUGAGUUCUUAGUUAUGUCCUUCGGGUUGACUAACGCCCCUACAGCCUUCAUGGAUCUUAUGAAUAGGGGGUUCCAUCAGUUUUUAGAUUUGUUCAUCGCAGUGUUCAUUGAUGAUAUUCUGAUUUAUUCUAAAAGUAAGGAAGACCAUGCCAACCACCUCCGAAUUAUCCUUCAGACCCUUAAGGAUCAUCAGUUAUAUGCUAAGUUCUCCAAAUAUGAAUUCUUGCUGAAUGCUAUUGCCUUCUUGGGGUAUAUUGUAUCUAGUGACGGGAUUAGAGUGGAUCCCUAAAAGAUUGAGGCAGUGAGAAAAUAGCCCAGGCCCACGACUCCAACCGAUAUUUAGAGCUUCUUGGGCCUGACGGGUUAUUACAGAAGGUUUGUAGAGAGUUUUUCUUCCAUAUUUUCUCCGCUUACUAAAUUAACCCAGAAAAAGGUAAAGUUUGUGUGGUCUGACUUGUGUGAAAAUAGUUUUGAGAAGUUGAAAGACAAGCUGAUUACUGCUCCUAUUUUGACUUUUCCCGAGGGUGAAGAUAGUUUUGUGGUAUACUGUGAUGCAUCCCGUGUGGGACUUGGUUGUGUACUAAUGCAACAUGGUAAGGUGAUAGCUUAUGCAUUUAAAAGGUGCAUGAGAAAAAUUACCCGACUCGUGACUUAAAGUUAGCAGUAGUGGUGUUUGCACUUAAAAUCUGGAGGCAUUAUCUCUAUGGAGUGCAUGUUGAUAUUUAUACUGACCACAAAAGUUUGCAGUAUAUUUUCUUGCAGAAAGAAUUAAACCUCAAGAAGAGGCAUUGGAUGGAGCUUUUGAAAGACUAUAAUAUGAGCCUACAUUAUCAUCCGGGCAAAGUAAUUGUUGUAUCCACCGCUCUCAGCAGGUUGUCUAUGGGUAGUUUUUCUCAUGUUGAAGAGGGAAAGAGAGGUAUGGUAAAGGAUAUUCAUCGCCUUGCAAAUCUAGGAUGUGACUCUUAGAUUUUGAAAAUGGAGGGGUGAUUGUUCAUGAGAUAUCUAAGUCAUCCCUUUGUGCUGAAGCUAAAGAGAAGUAGGUUGAAGAUCCCAUCUUGAUGUAAAUCAAGAAAGACAUGAGUCAACAAAAGGUAAUGUCAUUUGAUAUUGUAGGUGAUGGUAUUCUGAGAUAUCAGGGUAGGUUGUGCGUUACGAAUGGUGAUGGAAUGUGGGAAAAAAUCCUUGAUGAGGCUCACACUUUGAGGUAUGUUGUUCACCCGGGCUCUACUAAGAUGUACCAUGAUCUGAAAACUUUGUAUUGGUAGAAUAACAUUGUAAUACCCCGUAUAUUUCUAAGCUAGGAGAUGAAUUAUUUUUCCUAUGUAUGAAACCUCCUAUACUGUGAGUAGCAUUUUAGUGCAUGACUUACAAUGAGUAUCCUAGCGAUAAGAUAGCUUAUGAUACAUUAAGCAUAUUCAUAUAAGUCACUUAAGGUAAUACAAGCUAAGAGUUUUUGAAUCCAUCAAGUUUUAGUGUUUGAUUUAGUAAGGGUCAUCUUUGAAUGAGUAUAACUCAAUGUUAAUGUGGUAUUUCUGCAUAUUUCUACCCACCAAAUUAUAGAUAAUCAAAUUAGCUUUUCAACGAUACCAAUUUCACCUUAAUCUAAUACCCGAGCAAACAGUUAUGCCCUUUUUCGUGAGAGACAAUAAGGAUAGGCGAUUGGUUAGGCGCCGCCCAACCUAGACAUAGGCGAUUGGUUAGGCGCCACCUAACCUACCUUAGGAAAUCACUUGGGCGCCACCUAAGUCAGUUCUAGGUGCCAAAAACACUCCUUUUUGAGUUAUUUUAAGGGUAAUUAAGUCUUUUAACACUCCUUACAGUCCCUAAACUUAACCCUAUAAAAUAUAUAGCUUUUAAACACAUUACAAUCCUAUUAACAUCUCAAAGCUCAUUAUCCAAGAGCACUAAAAGAGAAAAACAACUAGGGUUGCAUAAUUAAGCUUGAAGAUCCAAUUUCAAGGAAAUUCCUCCGCCAAUCAUCAAGAACCUCCCUUCCAAGGUAUGCGUAGUGUUCAUCUAUGGAUUCCAUUCGUUCAUAGAGCUCAAGAAUCAUGCUUUUAAAUGUUGUUUUGUAAACUUUUUGUGGUGAUAUGAAUAUGUACAUGUUGAUGAUGGAUGUUUAAGUUUCAAGAUGAUAUCUAAGGAUGUUUUCAUGAAAUAUAUGUAGUUGUUGGUUGAAAAUAAAGAACUUUGGGUGGUUUAAUAUAAUGCAAGUAUAAAAUACACCUAUACCUUAAAGAAUGCAUGCAAGGUGUUUGAUAAAAUGCCUAGGAUGCUAGAAAUUCCUAUUUACAUGAUUCCAUGAUAUUCACAUGACAAGUCCAUGUUAGCUAUACACUUCAAUAUGAAUUUCCAUGCUAAUUAUGUAUUCUUAUGGUAGUGGCAUGAAGCAUGUAUGAUGAUGAAGAUAUGAAUUAUGUAUGCAAAUUAUAUCCAUGAUUUUCCUACCAUGUUUAAGAUGUUGAAUAAAUACAUGAAGUUUAAUAUCCCCAAAUCAUUACAAUAUGAACUAAACGUUACAUGUUGCCAUUCCCUUACGCUUGAAUGGUUUCCAUGCGAUUGCUAUGAAUAGUAUAUGUUGUCGGAAUGCCUAUGAUAUUAGAAUAUGAGAUUUAUGACUUGAUUAUAAGCAUUCCUAUUCAUAAUAGAUAUUAUGAUGACCACGUACUUCAUAAAAUCCCCCACUCAUUUAUUAUGGAUUCUUAUUGAUGGUCGUGUACUGAAGAAAUUCAAGUUGUGUCAGUUUUCUUCCAUCGAGUCCUGGGGUAACUUGUACCCAUAAAAAUAUAGCUGUGUGUCUAGAGCCAUGUCAUGUUUUCAUGAUACUCUCAGUCAAUCCAUGAUCUAUAGAAUUCAGUCAGUCAUGUGACUCAGGAAAACUCGGAAAUCUUAGUAAUCUCAGCAGCCCAGUAAUCUCAGUAAUCUUAGUGCUCAGUAACCUCAGCAACCUCAGUAUUCACAGUCACUCUUAGUAACUUCAGUACUCUCAACCAGUCCUCAGAACUCAGUACAUUCCGUCAGUCAUUGGAAUCUAGUAAACUUAGUUUAGCUCUGCUAAACAAUACCACUAGUAUCAGUCCAAUUAAUCAGUAUCAGUUCAGCUAAUCAGUUCAGUUUAGUUAUUCAGUUCAGCUUAGUUAUUCGUUCAGUGUCCUUCAGAUGGGAGUAGAAGUUAGCACCGAGUAAACCCAAGGAUGGGAACUCACCCGCCAGUUCAGAGUGUGAUUCUUAGUAGUCAUCCUUGUGUUCCAAAACUAAGUAGCCAACGUAGGUUGAGACAUCUUAACCCGUCAAAUUAGGGUUGAUGAGAUGGCUUAACUCGUCAGUUUAGGGUUCCCACCGUUCUCAUUGAGUACCUGCCCGUAUAGGGUUUUCACAGCUGUCCUUACCAGUGGCGCGGUAUUAACACCCCUUCAGUUGGGGCAGAGAUUGGACCCCAACUUAGCUAUUAUAGAAUAUUUGAGGCAUGUCGGUUAGAUAACUUCUUCCCACAGUUUCAGUUACAGAUUUCAGGAUUGUCAGCUAUAGCUACCCAGUCUCAGUAAAGAACUUAGAUAGUUCUUCAGAUUUCAGUAUAUCAGGACUGUCAGAUACAGUCAACUCAGAAAUAGAAUUGAACUCAGAUAGUUUCCUUUAGAUUUAUGGAUUGUCAGAUACAGUCACUUAUGUUAUUAAUCACAAAAGUUAUCAGAACUCAUGCUAUCAGUACUCAACUUCAGGACAGUCAGAUACAGUCAAUCAGACCAGUUCUUCAUAAUUUGAAUUGUUAGAAACAAUCAUUCCUUUAUCAGUAAUAUAGUAUCAGUCUCCCAGUAUUCAGUAAUACAGUAUCAGAUCCAUCACUUAUUAGUGAUUUACAUAUCAAUAUCAGUAAACUUAGUCUUUCCGAAUCUCAUUAUCAGUACACUCAUGUUGUCAGUAUUCAGAAUCAGUAGUAAGUAUCUCCACUAGUUUAGUUACAGUUACGUAUGCAUGUAUGUACUCUCACAUUUAUAUCAGUCAGUAUUUUUCAUGCAUAUAACCCUUUGCAUUUAGCCUACCUCACUCGUAUACUCAGUACAUUCAGACGUACUGACGCAUUUGCGCUAUGGUGCUUUCUCUUAUGUUACACCAUAGGUUCAGAGGCAUGAGCUCCAAAUCAGCAGUAGAUUCCAGGAUCAGCAGUCAGAGUUAGACGUGAGUCCUCAUCCUUUGAGGACAUAAUGAUUUCAUUUCUAUUUUAGUUUUCACUUUAUUUUAGUAGUUGGAGUUAGUUGGGGACAUGUCCCAUCAACUCCUUAUUUAGUUCAGCUAGAGGCUUUUAGGCUAGAUGUCAGAUUAGAUGUUCAUACUUUAGUAUUUAUGUUCCUUUUUGGUAUUGUUAUACCAUAUUUUUUAAAUAUGUAUUAGUAUUGAACCUUAUGGCCUCACAGUUUAUGUUUCUGUAUAUUUUAUGAGAUAUUAUACAGUUUAUAGGUACAGAUAUCAGUCAUGGGUUAGGUUGUGGUCCCUCGGGGUCAUGAGCAUCGUGUACCAUUCCGGUUCAGCGAAUUGGGGCGUUACAAACAUGAAAUACGAUGUAGCUGAUUUUGUCUCCAAGUUUUUGAACUGUCAACAAGUGAAGGUAGAACAUUUGAGGCUAGGAGGUACUUCCCAAGAGAUAGCUAUGCCUUUAUGGAAGUGGGAGAUGAUAAAUAUAGACUUCAUUACAGGACUUCUGCAGUCCCGAAACCAGUAUGACUCUAUUUGGGUGAUUGUAGAUCGGUUGACAAAGUCAGCCUAUUUUUUGCCCGCGAGGACUAAUUAUUCGGGAGAUGAUUAUGUGAAGCUGUAUAUUGAGGAAAUAGUCCAUCUGCAUGGAGCACCUAUCUCUAUUAUAUCUGAUCAAGGUAUGCAGUUUUAUUCUUAGUUUUGGAAAUCUUUUCAAAGGGGUUUAGGUACCUAAGUGAACUUAAGCAAAGCAUUACAUCCUCAAACUGAUGGGCAAGCCGAACGCACCAUUCAAACCCUUAAAGAUUUUUUGAGGGAUUAUGUAAUAGAUUUCAAAGGUAUUUGGGUAGAUCAUUUGUCGUUUAUUGAGUUUGCUUACAAUAAUAGCUACCAUGCCAGUAUUAAGAUGGCACCAUUUGAAGCGUUGUAUGGGAGGAGAUGCAGGUCUCCGAUAAGGUGGUAUGAAGUUGGUGAGACACAGUUUUUUGGACCUAAUCUUGUUCAUCAGGAAAUGGAGGAUGUGAAAAUAAUCAGAGAAUGAUUUAAGACAGCUUAGAGUCAUCAAAAAUCUUAUGCCAAUGUUAGAAGAAGAGAUUUAGAGUUUGAGGUUGGAGAUUGGGUAUUUCUUAAAGUUUCUCCCAUAAAGGGAGUUAUGUGAUUCAGAAAGAAAGGUAAGCUGAGUCCUCGUUAUAUAGGACCAUACCGGAUUGUAAAGAGGAUAGGUGGAUUUGCAUAUGAGUUAAAGUUGCUUGCAAAUUUGGGUUUUGUUCACCUGGUAUUCGAUGUAUCAUGUUUAAAAAGUGCAUUGGAGAUCAUUCUUUAGUGUUGCCUGUUGAAGAAAUCAAAGUGAUCGAUUCCUUUUCUUAUGAAGAAGAGACUGUAGCAAUCUUAGAUCGUCAGGUUAGAAAAUUAAAGAGCAAAGAGAUAGCCUCAGUUAAAGUAUUGUGGAGGAAUCAAAAAGUUGAAGAAGCAACUUGGGAAUCAGGAAACAACAUAAGAGUUAGAUACCCAAGCUUAUUUGAUCCGGUGAAUGACGAGGUGGAAGGUACAAUCCUUGACUUAUACUUUCUAUGUCUUAGUAUGCUAGAAAAUCGUGCUUGACUCUAAUUCCACAUCAUCAUUCGGCGACGAAUGAUCCCAAGGGGGGGGAUAAUGUAACACCCCAUAAAAGUCAUGCAUGUACUAACUCUUAGUGGUGUGGUCUUAGACUUAAAAACAUAAAUUUUUUCUUUCUAAGUGCCAAAAAACUUAGACUCAUUUUUAGCUCGUAAUCUCCGGGGAUUUUAUUUUCAACAUUCCCGACCUCUAUUUUUAGAUUUUUUUAUUGUGUUACGAUGGGGCAAGGUUGUAGUACAUCUCGGGUGAGUUUUGGGAUUCUUAUAUGAGCAUAAGGUCAUAUUUGGGGUGCCAUUCCAGUGAGGUCCCAUGAUCUGCAAGCGUUACCUGGCAGAUCGCCUGGCCUGGAAGAGAGCCCGUGAUAGAGCAGGUGAUGCCUGGCCUAUAGCAGUGCUCUUGGGAAGGCGCCGCCUGGUGGAUCACCCCAGGCCAAAGUUUUCAGAUCCUCCAGGAAAUUAAGGGUAUUUUGGUAAUUGUCCAUUCCCCUAUCAUCUUAAACACGGGAUUUAAUCCCUAGAAAGCCAAAAUACACCCACAUUCAUCAUAUUUCUCCAACAACUCUCUCAAGGGUUUCAAAAUAAAAAUUCUAAUAACUCAAGAUUCCACCGUGGGUUUUCAAAAUUGACGGAAGAUUUGGAAUCCUGCAACGUAGGCUUCAAGAAGAAGCUAUUAUUUUCGCAUAUAGAGGUACGCGGGGUUGUCCUAAAUUUCGUAGGCAUGUUUUCAAAAGGGAAUUUAUGCAAGACUUUAAAUUUAUACAAAUAUAUAUAUGUUUUACAAAUGGGGGUUUUCAAUUGAUACAAAUAACAUGUUUUGAUUUAUGAUUUUGAAAGAAAUGUUGAGAUAUCAUGGGGUUGUUUAUUUGAAUAUAUUUUAAUGGUUAAAUUAUGAACACGUGACCUAAAAUUUCAAAAGGGUGUGAUGUACAUGAGUUGUGAAUUUCCUAAAUUCCCCAUGAUAAUGUUUAUACCCCAUAUCAUAUUUGUGUUAAACCAUUGAGAACAUGAGUUUUGCAAUCGAUAUGACUUUACUUAUAAAUUAUUAAACAUUCUUGAAUGAUUGCAUGUUGAGAACCAUGGUGUAUGUGUUUUAAUGGUGUGAAAGUCAUACAUAUGUGCAUGUUGUAAAUGGUAUAAGAAGUUGAUGUCAUAUUGAUGACUUGCAAGUCGAGUAUGACGAUACCCUGUAGAGAAUAACAUGUGAUUGAUUUAAAUGAGUUUUCAUGCAUUAAUUUUAUGAGCUAGGUAGUGACCCGAAGAAAGAACGAGUCACUACGCUGGAAGCCAUGUUUGCCGACUCGGGAACUUGGUACCCUGCUGUGUGAUCUUGUGUACCUGACAUUAUGUCAUUCUAAAUUAGAACUAUGGUUAGGAGCUCUGCUUUGUGAUCUUGUGCACUACCAUACUUGAUUGGGUCGAGACACCCUGCUAUAUGAUCUUGUGUGUCUUUCCCUCACUUAUACUCUAAUCUCAGCGGCAACCGAGAUUGAUAGUUGGCGAAAAUAUGAAAUUAUAGGGUGUACCACCUAGCUCAGAUGUGUUGCAUUGUUGUUGAAAAAUCAUUAUACUAUGCCCAUGUAUUUUCGAAAUCAUUUUGCAAUAAUGUGUUUUAUAACAACUAUUAUGUAUUUUAUAUAAAAUUCUCUACUUUGUUUUGGAUUUCUCUGCGUACCAGUACUUUGUAUUGACCCCUUUCCUCCCAGGUUCGGAGGCACAGUCUAGGGGUCCAGAAAAUCAGUAGAUUCUUCAGACAGAUUUGCAGAGUAGAGUGGUGAUCCUUCUAUAUUACGGAAGGCCUGAUGUCUGGAAGUUAAUUUAUCAUUUAAUAGUUUUGGGUCUACUGGGGGCCUUGUCCCAGCUUUCAGGCAGUUGUUUGUUUUAGUCAUGUAGUAGAGAUUUCACAGAUGGUUUUCAGAUGUCGAUAGAUGUUGUGGGACGUUAUUUCCCAUUAUUGAUUUCAUUAGAUUUCAUG